RNAcentral lists this ribosomal RNA (253 nucleotides) under uncultured bacterium. Its description in RNAcentral is "partial 16S ribosomal RNA". It matches the Rfam family "Bacterial small subunit ribosomal RNA", at positions 524 to 776 of the family's 1533-position model. The record is from RNAcentral.
UACGGAGGGUGCGAGCGUUGUCCGGAAUCACUGGGCGUAAAGGGCGCGUAGGCGGCGCGGGGAGUCAACGGUGAAAGCUCGGCGCUCAACGCCGAGUCGGCCGUCGAUACUCCCGUGCUCGAGCACUGUAGAGGCAGGUGGAAUUCCGGGUGUAGCGGUGGAAUGCGUAGAGAUCCGGAAGAACACCGACGGCGAAGGCAGCGUCCUGGCCGAGCACUGACGCUCAGGCACGAAAGCGCGGGGAGCGAACAGG